RNAcentral lists this transfer RNA (69 nucleotides) under Paracanthobdella livanowi. Its description in RNAcentral is "tRNA-Gln". It matches the Rfam family "tRNA". Rfam says of the family: Transfer RNA (tRNA) molecules are approximately 80 nucleotides in length. Their secondary structure includes four short double-helical elements and three loops (D, anti-codon, and T loops). Lineage: Eukaryota; Metazoa; Annelida; Clitellata; Acanthobdellida. The record is from RNAcentral.
UAUUUUCUAGUGUAAGAACCACAUAAACCUUUGAAGUUUAAAAAUUAAGUUCAAAUCUUAUAAAAAUAG